Molecule: ribosomal RNA, 462 nt
Filed under: uncultured bacterium
Lineage: Bacteria
Description: partial 16S ribosomal RNA
Rfam family: Bacterial small subunit ribosomal RNA
Source: RNAcentral
AGUGAACGCUGGCGGCGUGCCUAAUACAUGCAAGUCGAACGGAGAUUCAGUAGCUUGCUAUUUAAUCUUAGUGGCGCACGGGUGAGUAAUAUAUAGCUAACUUGCCCAUUACUAAGGGACAACAGUUGGAAACGACUGCUAAUACCUUAUACUCCGUAUCUAUAUAAGUAGAUACGGGAAAGUUUUUCGGUAAUGGAUAGGGCUAUAUCGUAUCAGCUAGUUGGUAAGGUAAUGGCUAACCAAGGCUAUGACGCGUAACUGGUCUGAGAGGAUGAUCAGUCACACAGGAACAGAGACACGGUCCAGACUCCGACGGGAGGCAGCAGGAGGGAAGAUUGCUCAAUGGGGGAAACCCGGAGGCAGCAACGGCGCGUGGAGGAUGACACUUUUCGGAGCGUAGACUCCUUUUCUUGGGAAAGAAUUAUGACGGUACCCAAGGAAUAAGCACCGGCUAACUCCGUG